CGUAUGCGGCCUCAUCUCGUUGUUGGAGGACGAAUAGCACGACGACGGUUGAAACUAAAAUAACCUCGAAAAAGCGGCGACAUUUUGUUGUUUCCCUCCGAACAAGUGUUUCUAAUGAGUCGACGGACUGUGUGCUGAUGGUUCCCAGCGGGCUGCAGUAAGCUUCCAGUGGUUGUAAUGGCGGAUAAAGACGCCUGCAGGGAGUACCUCUCCUCUCUGGAGGACCUGACGUUCAACAGCAAGCCGCACAUCAACAUGCUCACCAUCCUGGCCGAGGAGAACCUGCACUUCGCCAAGGAAAUCGUGGCUAUUAUUGAAGCGCAAAUCAGCAAGUGUAAUUUCUUGGUCCGGUGUCCAGUGUGUGAUAAACGGUGUUAGCAGCUGCUCGCUAUGACAGCACAGUUUAAACUCACUAAAUGCUCACUGCUCCCUGAAGGGCUUUUUUCAAACAACCCUGCGAAGGGUUAAAACUUAACGAGGAUAAAACUCACCGUGUGUGAGAGUAAAGAGCGUCUGGGUAAAGUACAAAGAGCGGUUUGAAGAGCGCUCUUUGGAGGUAAACCGCUCACGAACACUUUUUGUUUUUACCCACGUGAACCUGACUGAAGAAUUUUCUGAACGUUUUUUGGAUUUUAUCUGAAAGGACUUCCUGCAUUUUGGUUCCUGACGAAGACUCUCUGGACUGCUGAUGUUUUUCCUCCUCACUGACUUUAUUUUUCUACAUUUUUAUAUUUUCCUCCACGCAGCGAGUUGUGAUUUGUUGUGAAAUGUUUUGCUUUUUAACCCCUUGUUGUUCUCUAAACUUGUCGAGUUCUCUAUUGCUCCAGGCCCCGUCCGCCGAGAAGCUUCCCGUUUUGUACUUAGUGGAUUCCAUAGUGAAGAAUGUUGGAGGAGAGUACCUUGCAGUGUUUGCUAAAAACCUAAUCACUUCAUUUAUAUGUGUCUUUGAAAAGGUACAGUUCUCUUUGCUGCUGUUUCAAAUCACACAUUCACAUGAAAUCUGUUUAUUGUUGCUUCUUGUUUCCUCUCCUGCCCUCUGCGUAUUAAAGGGGCCAUUCACCCCAACAUUAAAAAAAACUUUUACCUGAUUAAAAAUUGGAUGUUUUUCUUCAGUCGGUUGCAAAGUGUGGGCUUUUCCUCAAAUAUAACCCCCCCCCCCCCCCAAUAUCUAAGAAUCAUGACUCAUUUAAGAUAAACCAGUUUCUUGUAGGGUCUAUUUUCUCUCUCUGUGCAAAAGGAAACGUGCAUUAACACAGAUGUGAAACACAAACACAUUUCUGCUUAACACAAACCUUUUUAAAAUGUGUUUUCAAUUAUUUACUGCAGAGGAAUCAGAAACCUCUCCAACGUCCACCAGUAAAUGUAGAAGAAUAAAAAAGCUUAUUAAAUGAGAGGAUUGUUUUUGAAUGUUGGGGUGAAUUGUCUAUAUAACGCCUUGCUAAUAAAACGGAGGGUUAAUGUUUCUUGUCAUAUAUAAUGGAGCUAAGUGAGUGUUGGUGUGUGUUGCCCGGUGUGUGUGUUGGCGCUGGCCCACUGUGUGCUGUGUCUGCAGGUGGAUGAGAACACCAGGAAGAGCCUCUUCAAGCUGCGCUCCACCUGGGAGGACGUGUUUCCUCUGAAGAAGCUCUACGCCCUCGACGUCAGGGUGAACAGCGUCGAUCCCGCCUGGCCAAUCAAAUCCCUGCCGCCCUCCGUCAGCAACGCCUCCAUACACGUCAACCCCAAGUUCCUCAAGCAGGUGUGUAUCACACACACGCACUUAACCACAAGUUAUAGGAGCAGGUAUGUUUAUUUUUUCUUGCACACACAAACUUAAGAACAAGUUAUUUUAGCACGUGU
Notothenia coriiceps (black rockcod) is the source of this 1839-nucleotide RNA transcript. It is a transcript of the gene named PCF11 cleavage and polyadenylation factor subunit, with no coding region annotated. The transcript is spliced from 2 exons. The record is from RefSeq and is a predicted model, not a curated record. Lineage: Eukaryota; Metazoa; Chordata; Actinopteri; Perciformes; Nototheniidae.